UUUGGGAUGAUGCAUCAAUAUUCCUUAUGCCCUCUUUCUCUCAAAUUGUUUGAAAACUCUCUUGUUUCACAUUGGAUAUGGUUUUUGGAAGGAUAAUUUAUGGUAGUUCGUCUUGUUAAGAGAGUUGCUUCUUAAUUUGUUGGAGUGUUCUAUGGCAAGCGAUUAAUUGGGAUGACAUGAAGAAAAUGAAGUAUUCAUGACAACGAUGAACUAAAGUGAUGAGAUUCCAUACGAAGAACUUUGAGGUGCUGCCAUAGAGGGAGAGUUAGGAGUUUGCUUUUAUGUUUUAGU
Cornus florida is the source of this 291-nucleotide long non-coding RNA. RefSeq lists it as uncharacterized. The transcript is spliced from 3 exons. NCBI's taxonomy places the organism in Eukaryota, Viridiplantae, Streptophyta, Magnoliopsida, Cornales, Cornaceae. The record is from RefSeq and is a predicted model, not a curated record.